UACGUAGGGCGCAAGCGUUGUCCGGAAUUAUUGGGCGUAAAGAGCUCGUAGGCGGCCAGUUGCGUCUGCUGUGAAAUCCCGGGGCUCAACCCCGGGCGUGCAGUGGAUACGGGCUGGCUAGAGGCAGGCAGGGGAGAACGGAAUUCCCGGUGUAGCGGUGAAAUGCGCAGAGUAUCGGGAGGAACACCGGUGGCGAAGGCGGUUCUCUGGGCCUGUACUGACGCUGAGGAGCGAAAGCGUGGGGAGCGAACAGG
RNAcentral lists this ribosomal RNA (254 nucleotides) under uncultured bacterium. RNAcentral's name for it is "partial 16S ribosomal RNA". It matches the Rfam family "Bacterial small subunit ribosomal RNA", at positions 524 to 776 of the family's 1533-position model. The record is from RNAcentral.